CUACCUUUUACCGUAUAUUUGUGUGGUUAAAACUUGCCUUUUCUUUUCCAGACUGCAUCCUCUGCCCUGACAAGUAUGGAUGUUUUGAUUGGUACAUAUUAAAAGGAGUGGAGCUUGAGUGCUAACAGAAAGCUAGGAUAUUCCAGGUGGCGAAGUUAAUGUCAUACCAGUGCAUGGAUGUUGGCAGUUUUACUUUUUUAUCAAAAGCCUGCGCCUCCAGGUGUCGUGGUUAGUGCAGACGCUGUGUGGAUACAUGAAUACGCUUUCGAAGGAAAGAACCUUGUGCAAAAUAACCAAUAAACUAAAAAUAUUUUAAA
Penaeus monodon (black tiger shrimp) is the source of this 317-nucleotide long non-coding RNA. RefSeq lists it as uncharacterized. The record is from RefSeq and is a predicted model, not a curated record. The transcript is spliced from 2 exons. Lineage: Eukaryota; Metazoa; Arthropoda; Malacostraca; Decapoda; Penaeidae.